ACAGGGCUGAGAUACAUGUCACUG
RNAcentral lists this non-coding RNA (24 nucleotides) under Cricetulus griseus (Chinese hamster). Lineage: Eukaryota; Metazoa; Chordata; Mammalia; Rodentia; Cricetidae. The record is from RNAcentral.